CUCCGUAUCUUUGAAAAAGAGAGAGGAUAAAUAUCUGCGGUGACGGAAAUUGAAAUGAAAUGAGGUGUGAGAGGUUGCAGGAUAGACUGAAAGCAGCCACUUUUUGCCAUUACAAAGCUGUUAUCUGUGAAUCUCUGUGUAUCUCAGAGAGGUCUGUAAGCAUCAAUUGCAAUGAAAUGAGUACUUGAAAGUCAAAUAUUCCCUAAUGGGAAACAAACAAGAAGUUGCUCAAACUGUGGACAGAUGACUGUGACUUUUUUCCUAACACAAACAAAACCUACUGAAUUACGUGCAUGUGACUAUUUUGUUUGUAUUUCCACUGACUUCUGGAGCAUCUUAUCAUCUGUAGGGUGUGCAGCAGUGUGCCUGCUGAAGAGCUUCUGCGCUUACGGGCAAAAACAAACUGCUCAUUCGGAAGUGGAGGGAAGCCCUUAUCACCCAUUCUGAGGGUCUGCCACAGCUCUGCGGUCAAUGGAAAACAUCUCCAGAGGCUCAAGAUGUCAAGUACUCAAUAGACGGACUUCAUACACUGGUACAUCCCCACUUUGCAAAACUGUGUUGAGGUACUUAUGAGAGGAACGCUUCAGUCAAGAAGAGUUUCUUCUUCCAGUACUCACCCAAGAUCAGUUUCAUCCUAAAUGAUCCAAAUCUGAGGAUCAAGAGCAGCGGUUUCUCAAACAGUUUGACUCUAAAGCUAUUCAAUAGCGAUGGUAUAUAUUAUAAAUAAUUUAAUUUAAUUAAUAAAAUAUUUAUAUAAAAAUGCACAUACAUUUUAAAGUUUUGUUAAUUUACAUGACUUCUGCAGAUCUAGAAAUCACACUUUUAAAAUUAGGUCUCAUCCCUGGUUGAGAAACACCGAUCUAGAUGUCCAGCCAAACGGAUGAAGCAGUAGUUCAUAAAAAAGAAGAAAAAAGAAAAUAAAUAAUAAUGAUAAUCAGAAAUAAAAUUGUUUACUCACCCACAUUUUGCUCCAAAUCUCUCUGCUGCUAUUUUUCAGUGCAAUGCAAAAGGAGAAAUUUUGAAGGGGUGUGCGAUACUGAUAAAAAAAUGAUAUCUCUAUAUUUUCUGGAUUUUUGUAGACAACGAUAAUUAGAUCAUAUUUUGCUGAGUUUGUUAUUGUGCUGGUUCCUUGGCAGGUUUAGGACUGCCGUGAGCAGCUUUGAAAUUCUUCAUAUUCUGUGCAGUGGCUUGCAAGAGUAACAGAAAUUUACUUUUAAGUAGAAAUGGAUUUUUACCUUUUAUGGGCAUUUUUACCUUAAAAAGGCCAUUUUUGUAACCUAAUUAAAUGUAUGUCUCAUCUUUUGUGUCAAAUUCUUAAAUUUAAUCAGAUUCAAAUACUAAGACACUAUUGGGCUGUUACCAAUCAAAUGAAAUCAGUAUCAACAAAAUUUGUGUUUGCAAUGCAGAGGUGGCACAGAAUCUGCAUCUGAAGUGGCAUUUUCAGAUGCAUUUACACGCUGUUUAAUACAAGACAAUCAUGCAUUUAACUUGCAGUUACAAUUUCAUAAAUGUUUUGAUGUUGUUGUUUUUUUUUUUUCUUAAAGUUGAAUACUGAUAUUUGAAAUGAUUAUUGGGGGGAGGUAAAAAUGUACUUUAAAUAUGAGCGUAAAAUCGCCAGUAGGUGGUGGCAAAUCACUACAUGAGUGAGUGAGUCGUUGAGUCAUUUAUUCAUCUGAUUCGUUCAAAUGGCUAGUUGAUUCAGUAAGGAAACACCUUCGUGUGCUGCUCAGAGAGGCAAUGCAGGCUUUAUUUGGAACUAUUUUCGUUGUCGAAAUACAGCAAAAACAUCUCUCCUGGAACUUGCUCCAGCGAUCAUAAGAAGGCUCACGGCCUCUUCCCGCUGGCGGACAGCCUAAGCUGGGUAGAGUUUGCGUCCUUUUUCUGGGGCUGUCGGGCCACGUGUCGGUUGCAGAUGAAAAUGGAGAGGAAGGAGAAAGAGGUGUGCCUUCUGAUCCCGUCUCAGAUGACCACAGGUCCUUCCUCUCUUCCUCAGAGGAGAUGGCAGCAUGUCUUUAGAGGGUGGGAAAAGCAGCUCAUGGUGUCUGAUCAUCACUGUCAUUACCUUCUGUAUCAUGGGUGUUCCUGUGUGUAUGAGCUGCAGUGGCGGCAUCCAGCAUCAGAGUGCUGUCAAGGAAGUCCUCAUAUUGAGUCCAGGGCACAACAGGUUCAGGAAGCUCUCUGAGGUACAACUUAAGUAAGGACCCCACCGUGUGGACAUCAGUGUCACUGCAGGCAGAAGAUCUUCCCUGAUGGAGAGCACGGACCACUGUUCUCUCUCCUGGACCGCAGGCCCACACACAUUGCCCGGCUUCAGGCCUCACCCAUUGCUAUGACACACGCUGGGACGCAGGGGAAGGGAAGAGAGUCGCUUCAAACUCCCCAUGAAUUACCAAGGAGAUCAGAGCAGAGAUGCAAGAAGCUGUUUGCGUCAGGCCGAGCUGUUCUGCGUCAGGCUGAACUUUGAGACAUUAGUAAAAGGGACUGAUGAUCAUUCACGUUCAGCAGAACAGCUCCGCAGAUGCUAAAAUGUGCAUCAUUUUUGCUCAGUGCUAUGUGAUCGUAGCUAAAGGUAACGUUUUUAAAACACACGUUUCUUAAUUAUGAUUCAUCAGUGCGUGCUAUUCCAAAGGAAAAAAACUAUGUCUGAGUAAUCUUUAAUUAAAAUAAUUUUUAUUUUUAUUUGAUUUUAUAAUAGCUUUUAUUUUCAUCAUUACCCACCUGCCUAUUUUUCUCCCAUAAACCUACCAAUUCCUGGUUAAAAAGUCAAAUCCCCCUUUGAACGCCCUGUUUCACUUAGAACAGAUAAAUAAAAUGGGUUGCAAAUAGUUAUGCACAACAUUAAAAUUCUGGCUGAUAUGAAAAGUUGGGGUUUUUUUUAUGUUAUGGCUGGUAACUGAUAAAUGGCUGAUAUCAAAUUUCUAAAUGGUUGUUAAAAAUUGAAAUAUUUUAAAUGAAUAAACAAUAAAAACAGUUAAAAAUAAAACAGUAAUAACUUAAAUGCUACACAUUAGAAAAUGCAUUAUAAAAUAUAUACAUUCAUUUUGAGACUAUUAUAAUUUGUAUGAUUUUUAUCAAUUCAAAGUGAGUGUUAGAUUAUUGCAAAAGUAACUUCAAAUGUAAAAAUAGGGGAAAUGAACAUGCACAAUUGAAUAAGCAGCACUGACAGAUAUAGAUCAACAAAUUAAAAGCAAAAACAACCUAGUUAUGAACACUGUUUUUGUCAACUUUAAAAAAUUAGGCUGUACUAUAAUAUGCUUUGGAUAAAGAAUGGUUGCUACAUAUCAAAUAUAAAUUAUUAAUAUUAAGAAAAUUACUUUAAGCAAGCAUUAAACGAUGGCAAACGUAAUGAAUAUGUAAAAACAGGAAAUAAGCAUUCACAAUUAAAUAUCCAACAUUGGCUGAUAUAGAGCAAAUAUUGAUCGAUAUGAGGUUAUCCCUAGUUGUGGAUACUUUUUUUUGCUGACUUUAAAAAAUGAGGCUGUACUAUAAGAUGCUUUGAAUAAACAGUGUCAGCUAAACAUCAAGUAACAAUACACUUUGUAUAAUUAGAGCAAUGUAAUGCCAUCAGAAAAUUAUAACACUGUGAGAAACACUUGGUCUCUUGGUAACCUAGGAUACUGCUGAGAGAACCUUAACCAAAGACCUUGUAAUAGGGCACAUUGUAGAUAACUAUCUAGCAUUUAACAGUAUGCUGACAUUUUGAGCAGAGAAUGAUGUUUCUCAGAGUGUCGCAGCGUCUUCCUGCCUGCAGCAUGUGAAGAUUACACACAGAGGAAAUCACUAAUGCUUUGCAUCUCCAACAGACAGUGCACACCGAGACCAGAAACACCACGAGUCACCGCACACAACCAUAAACCUGUCUCUCUUUAUACCCGAUUGCUCCAUAAAUCUGCUGGAAGUCAUACUUUAACUUAAGAACUUUGAAUUUUUAAACAGCCUGGAUAUUAAUGAGAACGUUUAGUCAAAUUAGAAAGGAAGUACUACAAAUAAUCUUGCCACAACGACUAUACAACACAUCAAAAGGUGAUUUGACAGAAUUACAAGCGAAGCGCGUAGCAGAUGAGUAGUGCUCAAGUGAAUUCUAUAGCCUCAGGGUGAAUUCUCCACCAUCACCAUGCCACUUUUGUCUGUCAUUUACAGAUACUGUAAAAUCCCUCCUCUAAAUUAGACUAAACACAUAUGCACCAUCACUGCCCAGUCAAUUACAUUUCCCAUAACAUAAAAGUCACACAUUACAUGCCUCGGUAUAGACCAAAUCUCUAGUUCCUAGUGACAGGAGGCCUGUUGUGUCAAAGAAUCCCACAUAAAUCUACUCACCUGGCCAAGUGAAAUUCCUAAAACACGGAAUAGACUUUGACCUUUGACCACACACAGU
Onychostoma macrolepis is the source of this 4375-nucleotide long non-coding RNA. RefSeq lists it as uncharacterized. The transcript has 5 exons. Lineage: Eukaryota; Metazoa; Chordata; Actinopteri; Cypriniformes; Cyprinidae. The record is from RefSeq and is a predicted model, not a curated record.